This 497-nucleotide ribosomal RNA is filed under the name uncultured bacterium. Its description in RNAcentral is "partial 16S ribosomal RNA". It matches the Rfam family "Bacterial small subunit ribosomal RNA", at positions 28 to 507 of the family's 1533-position model. The record is from RNAcentral.
GAUGAACGCUGGCGGCGUGCCUAAUACAUGCAAGUCGAGCGAACAGACGAGGAGCUUGCUCCUCUGACGUUAGCGGCGGACGGGUGAGUAACACGUGGAUAACCUACCUAUAAGACUGGGAUAACUUCGGGAAACCGGAGCUAAUACCGGAUAAUAUAUUGAACCGCAUGGUUCAAUAGUGAAAGACGGUUUUGCUGUCACUUAUAGAUGGAUCCGCGCCGCAUUAGCUAGUUGGUAAGGUACCGGCUUUCCAAGGCAACUAGGCGUAGACGACCUGAGAGAGUGGUCGGCCACAUGAGAACUGAGACACGGUCCAGAGUCCUGCGAGAGGCAGCAGUAGGGAAUCGUACGCAAUGGGCGAAAGCCUGACGGAGCAACGCCGCGUGAGAGAUGAAGGUCUUCGGAUCGGAAAGCUCUGUUAUGAGGGAAGAACAAAUGUGUAAGUAACUAUGCACGUCUUGACGGUACCUAAUCAGAAAGCCACGGCUAACUACGUG